This is a long non-coding RNA of Cynoglossus semilaevis (tongue sole), 2297 nucleotides long. RefSeq lists it as uncharacterized. NCBI's taxonomy places the organism in Eukaryota, Metazoa, Chordata, Actinopteri, Pleuronectiformes, Cynoglossidae. The record is from RefSeq and is a predicted model, not a curated record. The transcript has 5 exons.
ACUUCUGCUUCUGACUGCUUCUGUCGAGCGGACAUUCGAGUCUAAAGCGAAUUAAACUUUCUAUUAAAAGUAAAAAACUAUUAAAACGUAUGCGACAUUAAAACAAAUACGACAGGACAGACUUUUAGCAUUAGCAUCGACGGAGAUGGAACAGGACUUGACGUUAGAACUGGAACGCGAUAAUCUGUAGAACACUGUCACUGAACUCAUCUUAAGGAAAGAGAGGAGGGGUUUCGUGUACAACUCAGCGGACGUUUUGAUGGGGAAAGGUCUGCGUCCAGUGAUCAAACAUCUCCCAUCUGUCUGGACCACUGCUCUGGGCCUCUGGGCUGGGUCUCAGGCUCCCAGCUCAUUUGUAUGCCCUGUGCCGCUGCAGCCUGUCAGCUGCUGGAGCUGCACCAUGUCAACCAGGCUAAAACAUUUGGACCAGGAAUCAGAAUCACCAGACACUAAGUGGACCUCAGGGGUGAAUGACACACGGGGCUGUGUAAGCCCCACCUGUCAGCCUGUCGAGCUGAGAGCCAUCGCGAUGCUUCCGAGGUGAAGCUGAGACGCCGCGGGGCCUCCAGAUGGUUUACUGUGCUGUCAGCGCGGGGAUCAAUACGAGUCCACAGCUUUAACAACACACACAAAUACCAGGUGUUCUAACAUAAGGCGGACCAGGUGGGACCGCGUGGCAUCUGGCUGUUCCUUUGGUCGUCUGGCUAAACGGGACGUCGUCCAGCUUCACCGACGUUUUGAUGCGAUCCAAUUCUCAAAGUCUGCACAGAAACAGGAAGUGAAGAUUCAGAGAGAAAUUCUGUCCCAGAGUACGUUUGUCCAAAGGACAAGAAGGACAGACGUGGACCAGGAGUGUGUAUCGGCAGGAAUCUGGUGACACGAUACAUAUCACCAUACAGUGGGAACGAUACGAUAUAUUACGAUACUAGAGGCACGAUGAUACAAUGAGGUUUUUGGGAAAAUUUAUUUAUUAAGUAUAAAAACUCUGUAUCACCAUUUGAUCUCGUCAUCACCGUCCCACUCAAAUAUAAUAUUUGUUUCACAUUUUACUCAUUAACUUCAGGUUCGUUAUCUCUCUAAAAUCAUUUUCUGUCUUUACUUUUUUUGAUUAAUCCAUAUAUUUAUUUAUUUUCAUUUGGUCCGUGUGAAGACAGCCGUCAGUGGACUCUUUUUUUUCAUUCCAUCACAGAUAUUCUGAGGACUGAUGAAGAGGGUCUGAACAAAUUAGAUUUUUUUUUAAAAAGGUAAAGAGCUGAGCUCUAAUAGCCGGGCACUGUGUUUCCAUAUGGCUGCUGGUGCGAUCCUCCUGCUGCCUUGCUUGGCCUCCUGCCAUGUGGAUUAGGAAGCCACAGAGCAGGAAUUAAUGUACUCCAUCUGUAGGCUUUGUCCUCAGACAGCCCCCCGUUGUCUCGCCUGGCUCCAGCUCUGGUUCAUGUGAAAAAAAAAAGUCAACUCAGCCGAACGCUCCUAAAUCGUCAGCCGGAAAGUUGGAGUGGGAAUUAUCAAAAUGGAAGAAUAACGGAGGAAAAGUUGUUUCUGACCAGAACAUGUGACAUGACUUGAGUCUUAGUACUUAUUGACUGAGUUAUGUUUUUAUUCACGCUGUCAUUUUUAUGUCGUGGACUCACAACAGCCAAUAGCAGCAGCCGUGUCUGUGGUCACUGACACAUCCAAAGAACCGACGUCUCAGCUUCCUCUGUCCUGUCCUCAGGUCAAAGGUCAAAUCUCUGCAGUCUUAUUGACAUGUCCUUCAGCAGCAGCAGGAGACACAGACCGUCCAACAAAACUGUUAACCAGCCCUGUAGAGUCAACGCCACAGUUUCCCCUGAAGAGGUUGUUGGAUUGACUCCUGGUCUGCUGCUCCACCUCCAACUUCACUCCACUCCUCUUCCCACAGCGGCUCCAGCAGCUUUUCAUUAUUCAAAUGAAGUUUUGGUGGCUGCAGGAAGUCAAUACCCAGAAUACAUCUGUGACACACAGAGAGAGAGAGAGCGUGGUGUGUGUGUGUCGUCCAACUAGUUCUGCUGACUGGUUAUCUGUGCAGGUACACGGGAUGUACUCUGUUGUACUACAUUGAUACUACACUGCUACCAUCUGUGGUUGGUGUUGUGGAAACAUCAGUUCUGCUCUGCAUGAUGGAAGUGAAGAACAGGAACAAGAAACAGGAUCCAGAACUGGAACUAGUUAACUCUAGUUAACAGAGGUUUAUUCACAAUUAGUCAGUCUCUGUCUCCACCUCUGUCCCCACCCGUGUCUCUGUCUCCACCUCUGUCCCCACCCGUGUCUCUGUCUCCACC